This 70-nucleotide transfer RNA is filed under the name Staphylinidae sp. BMNH 1274207. Its description in RNAcentral is "tRNA-Lys". The record is from RNAcentral. Lineage: Eukaryota; Metazoa; Arthropoda; Insecta; Coleoptera; Staphylinidae.
CAUUAAAUAACUUAAAGUAAGUGAUGGUCCUUUAAACCAUUUUUAAUAGAUUAACGACUAUUUUUAAUGA